This 803-nucleotide ribosomal RNA is filed under the name Pristimantis sobetes. Its description in RNAcentral is "partial 16S ribosomal RNA". It matches the Rfam family "Bacterial large subunit ribosomal RNA", at positions 1453 to 2553 of the family's 2925-position model. The record is from RNAcentral. Lineage: Eukaryota; Metazoa; Chordata; Amphibia; Anura; Strabomantidae.
UACCAUAAUUACACUCGACCCCUUUAAUUGUACUGAGAACUUCUAUAAAAUUAUAGAACUUUUUAUGCUAAAACUAGUAACAAGAGGUAAAACCUCUCUAUAAUGCAAGUAUAAGCCAGCAAGAAUCCGUCACUGUCAACUAACAGACCUAAACAAAAGUAGCAACCCACCCAGAAAACCCUACCUACCUUAACUGUUAACCUAAUACUAGAGCAUUUCAAGAAAGAUUAAAAGAAAGAGAAGGAACUCGGCAAAUAUUAGCCCCGCCUGUUUACCAAAAACAUCGCCUCUUGCUAUUAUAAGAGGUCUAGCCUGCCCAGUGACUUCUGUUCAACGGCCGCGGUAUCCUAACCGUGCGAAGGUAGCGUAAUCACUUGUCUUCUAAAUAGAGACCAGUAUGAAAGGCAUCACGAGGGCUAAACUGUCUCCUCCCCCUAAUCAGUGAACCUAAUCCCCCCGUGAAGAAGCGGGGAUUUUUUUAUAAGACGAGAAGACCCUAUGGAGCUUAAAACAUCACACACCUGCUGCUAUUUUUUAUUUACCCAGGUAUUUCCCCCCCCCCGGCAGGCUGAUUAAGUGUUUUUGGUUGGGGUGACCGUGGAGAAAAAUUUAUCCUCCACAAUGAAAGGAAUUACUCCUAAACAGCAAGCUACAACUUUAUGUAUCAGCAAACUGACAUCCAUUGACCCAAUAUAUUGAUUAACGAACCAAGUUACCCUAGGGAUAACAGCGCAAUCCACUUUGAGAGCCCCUAUCGACAAGUGGGCUUACGACCUCGAUGUUGGAUCGGGGUAUCCUAGUGG